This 436-nucleotide ribosomal RNA is filed under the name uncultured bacterium. Its description in RNAcentral is "bacterial SSU rRNA". It matches the Rfam family "Bacterial small subunit ribosomal RNA", at positions 30 to 469 of the family's 1533-position model. The record is from RNAcentral.
AUUGAACGCUGGCGGCAUGCCUUACACAUGCAAGUCGAACGGCAGCACGGGAGCAAUCCUGGUGGCGAGUGGCGAACGGGUGAGUAAUAUAUCGGAACGUGCCCAGUCGUGGGGGAUAACGUAGCGAAAGCUACGCUAAUACCGCAUACGAUCUAUGGAUGAAAGCGGGGGAUCGCAAGACCUCGCGCGAUUGGAGCGGCCGAUAUCAGAUUAGGUAGUUGGUGAGGUAAAGGCUCACCAAGCCGACGAUCUGUAGCUGGUCUGAGAGGACGACCAGCCACACUGGGACUGAGACACGGCCCAGACUCCUACGGGAGGCAGCAGUGGGGAAUUUUGGACAAUGGGCGCAAGCCUGAUCCAGCAAUGCCGCGUGCAGGAUGAAGGCCUUCGGUUGUAACUGCUUUGUACGGUAACGAAACGGUGAGCUCUAAUACAG